Molecule: ribosomal RNA, 570 nt
Filed under: uncultured bacterium
Lineage: Bacteria
Description: partial 16S ribosomal RNA
Rfam family: Bacterial small subunit ribosomal RNA
Source: RNAcentral
UGGGGAAUCUUCCGCAAUGGACGAAAGCCUGACGGAGCAACGCCGCGUGAGUGAAGAAGGUUUUCGGAUCGUAAAACUCUGUCUUUUGGGGCGAACGUGAGUAUGGUGAACAAUCAUAGUCAGUGACGGUACCAAAGGAGGAAGCCACGGCUAACUACGUGCCAGCAGCCGCGGUAAUACGUAGGUGGCAAGCGUUGUCCGGAAUUAUUGGGCGUAAAGAGCGCGUAGGCGGGAUAGUCAGUCUGUUGUAAAAGUGCGGGGCUCAACCCCGUGAUGGCAAUGGAAACAGCUAUUCUUGAGUGCAGGAGAGGAAAGUGGAAUUCCCAGUGUAGCGGUGAAAUGCGUAGAUAUUGGGAGGAACACCAGUGGCGAAGGCGACUUUCUGGACUGUGUCUGACGCUGAGGCGCGAAAGCCAGGGGAGCGAACGGGAUUAGAUACCCCGGUAGUCCUGGCCGUAAACGAUGGGUACUAGGUGUGGGAGGUAUCGACCCCCUUCCGUGCCGGAGUUAACGCAAUAAGUACCCCGCCUGGGGAGUACGGUCGCAAGACUGAAACUCAAAUGAAUUGAC